UGGCAAGCGUUAUCCGGAAUUUUUGGGCGUAAAGGGAGCGUAGGCGGAUUCUUAAGUGGGAUGUGAAAUACUCGGGCUUUACCUGAGUGCUGCAUUCCAAACUGGGAAUCUAGAGUGCAGGAGGGGAGAGUGGAAUUCCUAGUGUAGCGGUGAAAUGCGUAGAGAUUAGGAAGAACACCAGUGGCGAAGGCGACUCUCUGGACUGUAACUGACGCUGAGGCUCGAAAGCGUGGGGAGCAAA
RNAcentral lists this ribosomal RNA (241 nucleotides) under uncultured bacterium. Its description in RNAcentral is "partial 16S ribosomal RNA". It matches the Rfam family "Bacterial small subunit ribosomal RNA", at positions 532 to 772 of the family's 1533-position model. The record is from RNAcentral.